Molecule: ribosomal RNA, 478 nt
Filed under: uncultured bacterium
Lineage: Bacteria
Description: partial 16S ribosomal RNA
Rfam family: Bacterial small subunit ribosomal RNA
Source: RNAcentral
GAUGAACGCUGGCGGCGUGCCUAACACAUGCAAGUCGAACGGAGUCCAGCCUUAGAGACCUUCGGGUCAAAGAGGGGAAGACUGAGUGGCGGACGGGUGAGUAACACGUGGGCAACCUGGCUCAUAGAGGGGGAUAACAGAGAGAAAUUUCUGCUAAUACCGCAUAAGCACACACUGCCGCAUGGCAGAGUGUGAAAAGAGAAUCGCUAUGAGAUGGACCCGCGUCUGAUUAGCCAGUUGGCAGGGUAAGAGCCUACCAAAGCGACGAUCAGUAGCCGAUUUGAGAGGAUGUACGGCCACAUUGGGACUGAGACACGGCCCAAACUCCUACGGGAGGCAGCAGUGGGGGAUAUUGCACAAUGGGGGGAACCCUGAUGCAGCGACGCCGCGUGAGUGAAGAAGUAUUUCGGUAUGUAAAGCUCUAUCAGCAGGGAAGAUAAUGACAGUACCUGAAUAAGAAGCCCCGGCUAACUACGUG